This 253-nucleotide ribosomal RNA is filed under the name uncultured bacterium. RNAcentral's name for it is "partial 16S ribosomal RNA". It matches the Rfam family "Bacterial small subunit ribosomal RNA", at positions 524 to 776 of the family's 1533-position model. The record is from RNAcentral.
UACGGAGGGUGCAAGCGUUAUCCGGAUUCACUGGGUUUAAAGGGUGCGUAGGUGGGUUUGUAAGUCAGUGGUGAAAUCUCCAAGCUUAACUUGGAAACUGCCGUUGACACUAUAAAUCUUGAAUGUUGUGGAGGUGAGCGGAAUAUGUCAUGUAGCGGUGAAAUGCUUAGAUAUGACAUAGAACACCAAUUGCGAAGGCAGCUCACUACACAAAGAUUGACACUGAGGCACGAAAGCGUGGGGAUCAAACAGG